Molecule: ribosomal RNA, 465 nt
Filed under: uncultured bacterium
Lineage: Bacteria
Description: bacterial SSU rRNA
Rfam family: Bacterial small subunit ribosomal RNA
Source: RNAcentral
GACGAACGCUGGCGGCGUGCCUAACACAUGCAAGUCGAACGGAGAUACGAUUUCGGUUGUAUCUUAGUGGCGAACGGGUGAGUAACGCGUGAGCAACCUGACUCUUAGAGGGGGAUAACACCUGGAAACAAGUGCUAAUACCGCAUAAGACCACGACCCGACAUCGGGAUGAGGUCAAAGGAGCAAUCCGCUAAGAGAGGGGCUCGCGUCCCAUUAGAUAGAUGGCGGGGUAACGGCCCACCAUGUCAGCGAUGGGUAGCCGAGCUGAGAGGCUGAUCGGCCACACUGGAACUGAGACACGGUCCAGACUCCUACGGGAGGCAGCAGUGGGGAAUAUUGGGCAAUGGGCGCAAGCCUGACCCAGCAACGCCGCGUGAGGGAAGAAGGCUUUCGGGUUGUAAACCUCUGUCCUUGGUGACGAAAAAAAUGACGGUAGCCAAGGAGGAAGCCCCGGCUAACUACGUG